This 134-nucleotide ribosomal RNA is filed under the name Oudemansiella venosolamellata. RNAcentral's name for it is "partial 25S ribosomal RNA". It matches the Rfam family "Eukaryotic large subunit ribosomal RNA", at positions 1 to 133 of the family's 3401-position model. The record is from RNAcentral. Lineage: Eukaryota; Fungi; Basidiomycota; Agaricomycetes; Agaricales; Physalacriaceae.
UUGACCUCAAAUCAGGUAGGACUACCCGCUGAACUUAAGCAUAUCAAUAAGCGGAGGAAAAGAAACUAACAAGGAUUCCCCUAGUAACUGCGAGUGAAGAGGGAAAAGCUCAAAUUUAAAAUCUGGCGGCUUCG